Molecule: ribosomal RNA, 267 nt
Filed under: uncultured bacterium
Lineage: Bacteria
Description: partial 16S ribosomal RNA
Rfam family: Bacterial small subunit ribosomal RNA
Source: RNAcentral
GUCCCGGCUGUAAACGGUGCGCAUUUGCUGUAAACGGAAUCGACCCCGUUUGUGGCGAAGCUAACGCGAUAAAUGCGCCGCCUGGGAAGUACGGUCGCAAGAUUAAAACUCAAAGAAAUUGACGGGGGCCUGCACAAGCGGUGGAGUAUGUGGCUUAAUUCGAUGCAACGCGAAGAACCUUACCUGGCCUUGACAUGCAAGUGGUAGAACCAUGAAAGUGGGACGACCCCGCAAGGGGAGCUUGCACAGGUGCUGCAUGGCUGUCGU